UAAGGUUUGACCUGCCCACUGAGGAGUUUAAUGGCCGCAGUAAUUUGACUGUGCAAAGGUAGCAUAAUCAUUAGUUUUUUAAUUAAAAGCUAGAAUGAAUGGUUGGACGAAAUAAAAUCUGUCUCUAAAUAAUAAAUAAAAAUUAAUUUUUAAGUUAAAAAGCUUAAAUUAUUAUAAAAGACGAGAAGACCCUAUAGAUUUUUAUAUUAUAAAUUUUAAUUUUAAUUUAGAAAAUUUUAUUAAUUAUAAUUUAUAUUAUUUUAUUGGGGUAAUAGAAAGAUUAAUUGAAUUCUUUUUUAAAAUUUUCAAUAAUUUUUGUUUUUUUGAUCCUUUAUUAAAGAUUAUAAGAUUAAGUUACCUUAGGGAUAACAGCGUAAUUUUUUUAGAGAGUUCUUAUCGAUAAAAAAGUUUGCGACCUCGAUGUUGGAUUAAAAAUUAUUUUAGGUGUAGUAGUUUAAAAGUUUGGUCUGUUCGACCAUUAAAUUUUUACAUGAUCUGAGUUCAGACCGGUGUAAGCCAGGUCGGUUUCUAUCUUUAUUAGGUUAAUAUAUUUUAGUACGAAAGGACCAAAUAUUAAAUAUAUAAAUAUUUAAAUGUUGAAUAAUA
Molecule: ribosomal RNA, 606 nt
Filed under: Chostonectes sharpi
Lineage: Eukaryota; Metazoa; Arthropoda; Insecta; Coleoptera; Dytiscidae
Description: partial 16S ribosomal RNA
Rfam family: Bacterial large subunit ribosomal RNA (bases 365-523)
Source: RNAcentral